RNAcentral lists this transfer RNA (71 nucleotides) under Caerostris darwini. Its description in RNAcentral is "tRNA-Gly". It matches the Rfam family "tRNA". Rfam says of the family: Transfer RNA (tRNA) molecules are approximately 80 nucleotides in length. Their secondary structure includes four short double-helical elements and three loops (D, anti-codon, and T loops). Lineage: Eukaryota; Metazoa; Arthropoda; Arachnida; Araneae; Araneidae. The record is from RNAcentral.
GCGUCGGUGGUAUAACGGUUAGCAUAGCUGCCUUCCAAGUAGUUGACCGGGUUCGACUCCCGGCCGACGCA